CCUACGGGAGGCAGCAGUGAGGGAUAUUGGUCAAUGGACGAGAGUCUGAACCAGCCAAGUAGCGUGAAGGAUGAAUGCCCUAUGGGUUGUAAACUUCUUUUAUAUGGGAAUAAAAGGUUCCACGUGUGGGAUUUUGUAUGUAUCAUAUGAAGAAGGAUCGGCUAACUACGUGCAAGCAGCCACGGUAAUACGGAGGAUCCGAGCGUUAUCCGGAUUUAGUGGGUUUAAAGGGAGCGUAGGGGGAUUGUUAAGUCAGUUGUGAAAGUUGGCGGCUCAACCGUGAAAUUGCAGUUGAAACUGGCAGUCUUGAGUACAGUAGAGGUGGGCGGAAUUCGUGGUGUAGCGGUGAAAUGCUUAGAUAUCACGAAGAACUCCGAUUGCGAAGGCAGCUCACUGGACUGCAACUGACACUGAGGCUCGAAAGUGUGGGUAUCAAACAGGAUUAGAUACCCUUGUAGUC
Molecule: ribosomal RNA, 460 nt
Filed under: uncultured bacterium
Lineage: Bacteria
Description: partial 16S ribosomal RNA
Rfam family: Bacterial small subunit ribosomal RNA
Source: RNAcentral